This is a long non-coding RNA of Cyprinus carpio carpio, 434 nucleotides long. The record is from Ensembl. NCBI's taxonomy places the organism in Eukaryota, Metazoa, Chordata, Actinopteri, Cypriniformes, Cyprinidae.
GAAGGCUGCAUAUGAUGUCUAUGGAAGGCUGCGUUUGAAGGCCGAUUGCAAUUCGAACGCGACUCAAAAUGCGCCCUCCGUUUCUCAGGCAAAUGAAGGAUACAUCAGAUGGAUCCUUCGCAGUCCAUCCUAUCCCAGAAUUCAUAGCGCAGCGGUGGCGACGGAACUUUUAUUCAAACAAAACAGCGGGUGAUGGUUCUGUGGCGGCCGAUGAAUACACUUAGAAAUGACAGUUCUGGAGAAAAUGCUGAGCAGUGAGACCCUGGUGCUGCUGCUGGACCUGGACGGGCUGCCAGAGAGAGUACUUUCAGUAGCUACUAUUAGUGCAUUGAGGAAAAAAUGUAUGCAUUGAAAACCUGAAGUGUUAUCCUUCAUACUGUAAUGUACUUAAGGUGUGAAGCGUAAAAGUAGCCUAUGUAUUCUGCAGAAAAAAC